This 301-nucleotide ribosomal RNA is filed under the name uncultured bacterium. Its description in RNAcentral is "partial 16S ribosomal RNA". It matches the Rfam family "Bacterial small subunit ribosomal RNA", at positions 509 to 807 of the family's 1533-position model. The record is from RNAcentral.
CAGCAGCCGCGGUAAUACGAAGGGGGCUAGCGUUGCUCGGAAUGACUGGGCGUAAAGGGCGCGUAGGCGGCGGCCAAAGUCAGGCGUGAAAUUCCCGGGCUCAACCUGGGGGCUGCGUUUGAUACUUGGUUGCUUGAGUGGGGAAGAGGGUCGUGGAAUUCCCAGUGUAGAGGUGAAAUUCGUAGAUAUUGGGAAGAACACCGGUGGCGAAGGCGGCGACCUGGUCCUUGACUGACGCUGAGGCGCGAAAGCGUGGGGAGCAAACAGGAUUAGAUACCCGAGUAGUCCCUGUCUCUUAUAC